Molecule: non-coding RNA, 150 nt
Organism: Escherichia coli 53638
Lineage: Bacteria; Pseudomonadati; Pseudomonadota; Gammaproteobacteria; Enterobacterales; Enterobacteriaceae
Source: Rfam
CCCGCUAUUCCGGUAGCGGUAGCCUAAUCAGAAUGGCGUUGCUGGUAACGGCAAGGUCAUAAGCUCUGAUGACAACGUACUCUCCCUCAGGAAGGGUAAGUCGAGCCGUGAGGUGAGACGAUCGUCUGCAAGCAUCAUGCGGACAGGAGG